CAACACAUAAAAUUUUGACCAGAGACAGUAGGCAAAAGUAAGCCCUACCGAGGUAAAAUAAGAGUAUAUAAAACUCUGUUAAUGCCUCGAGUAGGUAUUUAACAGAGUUUUUAAUUUUUAAAA
Molecule: non-coding RNA, 123 nt
Organism: Clostridium sp. CAG:452
Lineage: Bacteria; Bacillati; Bacillota; Clostridia; Eubacteriales; Clostridiaceae
Source: Rfam